Molecule: long non-coding RNA, 7992 nt
Filed under: Salmo salar (Atlantic salmon)
Lineage: Eukaryota; Metazoa; Chordata; Actinopteri; Salmoniformes; Salmonidae
Description: lncRNA (ENSSSAG00000099575.1)
Source: RNAcentral
GUCUGGAGGCCGUUUUGCAAUGCAGUAACAUGACAAGAGGUGAAGUAUUUGUUGCACCUCUGUAUCCAAUAAAAAAAUGAAGAUUGGUUGGAUCACAAUUAUAAUCACAAUCUUGAUGAUCUUAUUUGUUGUGAAAUUGACUGAUAUUACUUGUUAGAUAUUACUUGACAGAUAUUACUUGUUAGAUAUUACUUGUUAGAUAUUACUUGACAGAUAUUACUUGUUAGAUAUUACUUGUUAGAUAUUACUUGACAGAUAUUACUUGAUAGAUAUUACUUGAUAGAUAUUACUUGACAGAUAUUACUUGUUAGAUAUUACUUGAUAGAUAUUACUUGAUAGAUACUGCUGCACUGUCGGAACUAGAAGCACAAGCAUUUCGCUACACUCGCAAUAACAUCUGCUAACCAUGUGUAUGUGACCAAUUUGAUUUGAUUUGAUUUUGAUGAUAAUAUAUCAUGUUUCAUCUCAAUACCUGAUAGGCCUAUGUGUUGUUUAUGUAUGCUAAUAUUUUUCAUUAUGUUGUUGCACAUACAGAGGCUUACCAUUGUUCAGUGUAUACAGUUCUCUGUACUCUGUACUGUGGAUGGCUGCUGCUAUGGAGUUGACAUUUAGACUAGGUUGUCAUUUCACCACAGAGCUUCUGUAUAUAACCUGUGUAUAUAACCUUGCCCAUUUAAACCUGUACUCUGCAGGCCACGGAACCACAUUGUUUAUUUAUGUACCUUGUCUUCUUGGUAGUGUAGUAUGAGGUGGGUAGGUUUGUGGCGGCUGAUUGACCAGUGAUAGUGUAGUAUGAGGUGGGUAGGUUUGUGGCGGCUGAUUGACCAGUGAUAGUGUAGUAUGAGGUGGGUAAGUUUGUGGCGGCUGAUUGACCAGUGAUAGUGUAGUAUGAGGUGGGUAAGUUUGUGGCGGCUGAUUGACCAGUGAUAGUGUAGUAUGAGGUGGGUAAGUUUGUGGCGGCUGACCAGUGAUAGUGUAGUUUGAGGUGGGUAGGUUUGUAGCGGCUGAUCAGUGAUAGUGUAGUUUGAGGUGGGUAGGUUUGUGGUGGCUGAUCAGUGAUAGUGUAGUAUGAGGUGGGUAGGUUUGUGGCAGCUGGCUGACCAAUGAUAGUGUAGUUUGAGGUGGGUAGGUUUGUGGCGGCUGAUCAGUGAUAGUGUAGUUUGAGGUGGGUAGGUUUGUGGCUGCUGUUUGACCAGUGAUAGUGUAGUUUGAGGUGGGUAGGUUUGGGGCGGCAGGCUGACCAGUGAUAGUGUAGUUUGAGUUGGGUGGGUUUGUGGUGGCUGGCUGGCUGACCAGUGAUAGUGUAGUUUGAGGAGGGUAGGUUUGUGGCGGCUGGCUGACCAGUGAUAGUGUAGUUUGAGGUGGGUAGGUUUGUGGCGGCUGACUGACCAGUGAUAGUGUAGUUUGAGUUGGGUAGGUUUGUGGCGGCUGACCAGUGACAGUGUAGUUUGAGGUGGGUAGGUUUGUGGCGGCUGAUUGACCAGUGAUAGUGUAGUUUGAAGUGGUUAGGUUUGUGGCUGCUGACUGACCAGUGAUAGUGUAGUAUGAGGUGGGUAGGUUUGCGACAGCUGACCAGUGAUAGUUUAGUAUGAGGUGGGUAGGUUUGUGGUGGCUGGCCAAUGAUAGUGUAGUUUGAGGUGGGUAGGUUUGUGGCGGCUGACUGACCAGUGAUAGUGUAGUUUGAGGUGGGUAGGUUUGUGGCGGCUGACCAGUGAUAGUGUAGUAUGAGGUGGGUAGGUUUGUUGCGGCUGACCAAUGAUAGUGUAGUUUGAGGUGGGUAGGUUUGUGGCGGCUGAUUGACCAGUGAUAGUGUAGUUUGAGGUGGGUAGGUUUGUGGCGGCUGACUGACCAGUGAUAGUGUAGUAUGAGGUGGGUAGGUUUGUGGCGGCUGAUUGACCAGUGAUAGUGUAGUAUGAGGUGGGUAGGUGUGUGGCGGCUGGCUGACCAGUGAUAGUGUAGUUUGAGGUGGGUAGGUUUGUGGCUGCUGACCAGUGAUAGUGUAGUUUGAGGUGGGUAGGUUUGUGGCGGCUGGCUGACCAGUGAUAGUGUAGUAUGAGGUAGGUAGGUUUGUGGCGGCUGAUUGACCAGUGAUAGUGUAGUUUGAAGUGGUUAGGUUUGUGGCGGCUGGCUGACCAGUGAUAGUGUAGUAUGAGAUGGGUAGGUUUGUGGCGGCUGACCAAUGAUAGUGUAGUAUGAGGUGGGUAGGUUUGUGGCGGCUGAUUGACCAGUGAUAGUGUAGUAUGAGGUGGGUAGGUGUGUGGCGGCUUGCUGACCAGUGAUAGUGUAGUUUGAGGUGGGUAGGUUUGUGGCGGCUGACUGACCAGUGAAGUGUAGUUUGAGGUGGGUAGGUGUGGGGCAGCUGGCUGACCAGUGAUAGUGUAGUAUGAGGUGGGUAGGUUUGUGGCGGCUGACCAAUGAUAGUGUAGUAUGAGGUGGGUAGGUUUGUGGCAGCUGGCUGACGAGUGAUAGUGUAGUUUGAGGUGGGUAGGUUUGUGGCGGCUAACCAGUGAUAGUGUAGUAUGAGGUGGGUAGGUUUGUGGCGGCUGACCAAUGAUAGUGUAGUAUGAGGUGGGUAGGUUUGUGGCAGCUGGCUGACCAGUGAUAGUGUAGUUUGAGGUGGGUAGGUUUGUGGUGGCUGACCAGUGAUAGUGUAGUUUGAGGUGGGUAGAUUUGUGGCGGCUGACCAGUGAUAGUGUAGUUUGAGGUGGGUAAGUUUCUGGCGGCUGACUGACCAGUGAUAGUGUAGUAUGAGGUGGGUAGGUUUGUGGCGGCUGGCUGACCAUUGAUAGUGUAGUUUGAGGUGGGUAGGUUUGUGGCGGCUGACCAGUGAUAGUGUAGUUUGAGGUGGGUAGGUUUGUGGCGGCUGAUUGACCAGUGAUAGUGUAGUUUGAGGUGGGUGUGUUUGUGGAGGCUGACUGACCAGUGAUAGUGUAGUAUGAGGUGGGUAGGUUUGUGGCGGCUGACCAAUGAUAGUGUAGUAUGAGGUGGGUAGGUUUGUGGCAGCUGGCUGACCAGUGAUAGUGUAGUUUGAGGUGGGUAGGUUUGUGGCGGCUGACCAAUGAUAGUGUAGUUUGAGGUGGGUAGGUUUGUGGCGGCUGAUUGACCAGUGAUCGUGUAGUAUGAGGUGGGUAGGUUUGUGGCGGCUGACUGACCACAAAUAGUGUACUUUGUGGUGGGUAUGUUUGUGGCGGCUGACCAGUGAUAGUGUAGUUAGAGGUGGGUAGGUUUGUGCCCGCUGACCAGUGGUAGUGUAGUUUGAGGUGGGUAGGUUUGUGCCCGCUGACCAGUGAUAGUGUAGUUUGAGGUGGGUAUGUUUGUGGCUGCUGACUAACCAGUGAUAGUGUAGUUUGAGGUGGGUAGGUUUGUGGCGGCUGUCUUACCAGUGGUAGUGUAGUUUGAGGUGGGUAGGUUUGUGGCGGCUAGCUGACCAGUGAUUGUGUAGUUUGGGGUGGGUAGGUUUGUGGCGGCUGGCUGAACAGUGAUAGUAUAGUUUGAGGUUGGUUGUUUUGUAGCGGCUGGCUGACCAGUUAUAGUGUAGUUUGAAGUGGGUAGGUUUGUGGCGGCUGACCAGUGUUAGUGUAGUUUGAGGUGGGUAGGUUUGUGGCGGCUGAUUGACCAGUGAUAGUGUAGUUUGAGGUGGGUAGGUUUGUGGCGGCUGACUGAUCAGUGAUAGUGUAGUAUGAGGUGGGUAGGUUUGUGGCAGCUGGCUGACCAGUGAAGUGUAGUUUGAGGUGGGUAGGUUUGUGGCAGCUGGCUGACCAGUGAUAGUGUAGUUUGAGGUGGUAGGUUUGUGGUGGCUGACCAGUGAUAGUGUAGUUUGAGGUGGGUAGAUUUAUGGCGGCUGACCAGUGAUAGUGUAUUAUGAGGUGGGUAGGUUUGUGGCGGCUGAUUGACCAGUGAUAGUGUAGUAUGAGGUGGGUAGGUUUGUGGCAGCUGGCUGACCAGUGAUAGUGUAGUUUGAGGUGAGUAGGUUUGUGGCGGCUGACCAAUGAUAGUGUAGUUUGAGGUGGAUAGGUUUGUGGCGGCUGAUUGACCAGUGAUAGUGUAGUAUGAGGUGGGUAGGUUUGUGGCGGCUGACUGAACACAAAUAGUGUACUUUUUGGUGGGUAUGUUUGUGGCGGCUGACCAGUGAUAGUGUAGUUUGAGGUGGGUAGGUUUGUGCCCGCUGACCAGUGGUAGUGUAGUUUGAGGUGGGUAGGUUUGUGCCCGCUGACCAGUGAUAGUGUAGUUUGAGGUGGGUAUGUUUGUGGCGGCUGACUAACCAGUGAUAGUGUAGUUUGAGGUGGGUAGGUUUGUGGCGGCUGUCUUACCAGUGGUAGUGUAGUUUGAGGUGGGUAGGUUUGUGGCGGCUGACUGACCAGUGGUAGUGUAGUUUGAGGUGGGUAGGUUUGUGGCGGCUGGCUGAACAGUGAUAGUAUAGUUUGAGGUUGGUUGUUUUGUAGCGGCUGGCUGACCAGUUAUAGUGUAGUUUAAGGUGGGUAGGUUUGUGGCGGCUGAUUGACCAGUGAUAGUGUAGUUUGAGGUGGGUAGGUUUGUGGCGGCUGACUGAUCAGUGAUAGUGUAGUAUGAGGUGGGUAGGUUUGUGGCGGCUGACCAAUGAUAGUGUAGUAUGAGGUGGGUAGGUUUGUGGCAGCUGGCUGACGAGUGAUAGUGUAGUUUGAGGUGGGUAGGUUUGUGGCGGCUGACCAAUGAUAGUGUAGUAUGAGGUGGGUAGGUUUGUGGCAGCUGGCUGACCAGUGAAGUGUAGUUUGAGGUGGGUAGGUUUGUGGCAGCUGGCUGACCAGUGAUAGUGUAGUUUGAGGUGGGAAGGUUUGUGGCGGCUGACUGACCAGUGAUAGUGUAGUUUGAGGUGGGUAGGAUUGUGGUGGCUGACCAGUGAUAGUGUAGUUUGAGGUGGGUAGAUUUGUGGCGGCUGACCAGUGGUAGUGUAUUAUGAGGUGGGUAGGUUUGUGGCGGCUGAUUGACCAGUGAUAGUGUAGUAUGAGGUGGGUAGGUUUGUGCCCGCUGACCAGUGGUAGUGUAGUUUGAGGUGGGUAGGUUUGUGCCCGCUGACCAGUGAUAGUGUAGUUUGAGGUGGGUAUGUUUGUGGCGGCUGACUGACCAGUGAUAGUGUAGUUUGAGGUGGGUAGGUUUGUGGCGGCUGUCUUACCAGUGGUAGUGUAGUUUGAGGUGGGUAGGUUUGUGGCAGCUGACUGACCAGUGGUAGUGUAGUUUGAGGUGGGUAGGUUUGUGGCGGCUAGCUGACCAGUGAUUGUGUAUUUUGGGGUGGGUAGGUUUGUGGCGGCUGGCUGAACAGUGAUAGUAUAGUUUGAGGUUGGUUGUUUUGUAGCGGCUGGCUGACCAGUUAUAGUGUAGUUUAAGGUGGGUAGGUUUGUGGCGGCUGAUUGACCAGUGAUAGUGUAGUUUGAGGUGGGUAGGUUUGUGGCGGCUGACUGAUCAGUGAUAGUGUAGUAUGAGGUGGGUAGGUUUGUGGCGGCUGACCAAUGAUAGUGUAGUAUGAGGUGGGUAGGUUUGUGGCAGCUGGCUGACGAGUGAUAGUGUAGUUUGAGGUGGGAAGGUUUGUGGCGGCUGACUGACCAGUGAUAGUGUAGUUUGAGGUGGGUAGGAUUGUGGUGGCUGACCAGUGAUAGUGUAGUUUGAGGUGGGUAGAUUUAUGGCGGCUGACCAGUGAUAGUGUAUUAUGAGGUGGGUAGGUUUGUGGCGGCUGAUUGACCAGUGAUAGUGUAGUAUGAGGUGGGUAGAUUUGUGGCGGCUGACCAAUGAUAGUGUAGUUUGAGGUGGGUAAGUUUGUGGCGGCUGACCAAUGAUAGUGUAGUUUGAGGUGGGUAGGUUUGUGGCGGCUGAUUGACCAGUGAUAGUGUAGUAUGAGGUGGGUAGAUUUGUGGCGGCUGACCAAUGAUAGUGUAGUUUGAGGUGGGUAGGUUUGUGGCGGCUGACCAGUGAUAGUGUAGUUUGAGGUGGGUAGGUUUGUGGCGGCUGAUUGACCAGUGAUAGUGUAGUUUGAGGUGGGUGUGUUUGUGGAGGCUGACUGACCAGUGAUAGUGUAGUAUGAAGUGGGUAGGUUUGUGGCGGCUGACCAAUGAUAGUGUAGUAUGAGGUGGGUAGCUUUGUGGCAGCUGGCUGACCAGUGAUAGUGUAGUUUGAGGUGGGUAGGUUUGUGGCGGCUGACCAAUGAUAGUGUAGUUUGAGGUGGGUAGGUUUGUGGCGGCUGAUUGACCAGUGAUAGUGUAGUAUGAGGUGGGUAGGUUUGUGGCGGCUGACUGACCACAAAUAGUGUACUUUGUGGUGGGUAUGUUUGUGGCGGCUGACCAGUGAUAGUGUAGUAUGAGGUGGGUAGGUUUGUGCCCGCUGACCAGUGGUAGUGUAGUUUGAGGUGGGUAGGUUUGUGCCCGCUGACCAGUGAUAGUGUAGUUUGAGGUGGGUAUGUUUGUGGCGGCUGACUAACCAGUGGUAGUGUAGUUUGAGGUGGGUAGUUUUCUGGCGGCUGACUGACCAGUGGUAGUGUAGUUUGAGGUGGGUAGGUUUGUGGCCGCUGGCUGACCAGUUAGUGUGGAGUGCUUCAGGGCACCACAGGUUUAAACUGCAUGGUCUCUACCAGUUCAGUUCACCUGAUGGUGGUGAAUCCCUCUAUAGCACAUAUUACCACUCUUCUAUUUUAGAUAUAAAAUUGAACCUUUAUUUAACUAGGCAAGUCAGUUAAGAACAAACUCUUAUUUACAAUGACGGCCUAACCCGGCCGAUGCUGGGACAAAUUGUGCGCCGCCGUAUGGGACUCCCAAUCACGACCUGUUGUGAUACAGCCUGGAAUCGAGCCAUGGUCUGUAGUGACACCUCUAGCACUGAGAGACAGUGCCUUAGACUGCUGCUCCACUCAGGAGAUAUGUGAAUGAUGCAGGCUAGGGGUACGUUCAUUCGUCCAAAUGUUUGAGAUGUUUUCAAAACCUAUUUUCAAUCUGAAUGGUAGAAGACAAAUAGUGCCAUGAUUAUUUCCUGACCAUGUCACCUGACCAGGGACAAACUCCUAGCCCCUAGCUAGUUAUUACCCAUUAACUACAAUUUGUGGCCAGAGUUUUUCCUGGUCAGAUGACAUGGUCAGCAGGAAAAACUCAGCAUCAUUAUUUCAGCAACCAUAACGUCUUCUCUAAAAACCUUUCAAAAUGUUUCUUCCAACGGGGAGCUAAUGAACGCGACCCUAUCCGUUGUGCAGGGAUCUAAUCAUGUGACGGGGAAUUAGGGGGCUGCCAUUUCUCCCUGCACUUCCCUUUGAUCCUGUCCGCCACACACACACACACACACACACACACACACACACACACACACACACACACACACACACACACACACGUAUGCACAGCAUCUCCAACUCACACAUUUAUGCUACCGUGCAUGUGUGCAAAAUGAAGAAAAACGUGAUACACCUUGCCUUUAAAGUGAGGGCUGGGUUUUGAAGUGCCCGGUCUUGCCCUGACUUCCGGAGAUAUUUCCAGGUAUUGUCUGGGUAGGCUAGUCUUUCAUGGUUGACUGAGAGAGUGAUAUAAGAUGAGCCACACCCCUAUACCUGCAGAAAGAAACAGGCUGUGUGUGUGUGUGUGUGUGUGUGUGUGUGUGUGUGUGUGUGUGUGUGUGUGUGUGUGUGUGUGUGUGUGUGUGUGUGUGUGUGCGUGUGUGUCUGUGAGUGUGUGUGUGUGUGUGUGUGUGUGUGUGUGUGUGAAUGUGAUUCUACUCUGAGCAAAACAAGGGGACGAACCCAGUCAAUGACCAAUGAUUGGCAGUCUCUUCAAAAUAUGUGUGUGUACAUGUGUGUUUACAUAGAAGAUGGGCAGUACCCACACACACUGCUUGGCUUCCACUUUCACUUGCAGCUAGAGCAGGGUCCAAGGGUAGAUAGACAGUAGGGCUAGUUAGACCUCACGACAUGAUAUUAUCAGCAUACUUAGGUGCCGAUUCUAUAUGUACUGCGAUUCUCACUAUUCUCCUGAUUCUAUAUGUACU